Long non-coding RNA from Ictalurus punctatus (channel catfish), 9883 nucleotides. The record is from Ensembl. NCBI's taxonomy places the organism in Eukaryota, Metazoa, Chordata, Actinopteri, Siluriformes, Ictaluridae.
AAACAAUGCAAUUGUGUUACAAGGGAAAAAGUUCAUUACAGUUUUACAUGAAGUCUGUUUUGUUGAACUUCACUAACAUGAUUUUUACACUAAGUAUGUGUUCUUGAAAUCCACUGUUCACUGAUAGACUUGGAGUGCAAAACUGUUUGUGGCAAUUGCAGUCCUAAAGCUAUCAUAGCCAUUGUAGUCCUAAGCCAUCAUAGCAUAACCGUUUAUAUGAAUUGUGGCCCAGAGCCAUUUUCAUGGUUGUUUAAGUGGUACCAUACUCAGUAAUCUAAAUUAUGUUUAGGCUGCACCAUGUGGGGCCAUCCUCAGCAGCAGCAAGUGAUGUCCAUUUGAUUAAGAACUCCAGCUAGAAGUAGGGCAUCAGGAUGGAUCAGGCAGGUCCGUAGAGCAGAAUCACUGAUAUCUCAGGAGUAGCAUGUGUAGCCCAACAGAAAGAGAGUGAGAGAGGAAGGGAGAGAGAUGGGAGAUUAUUAGGUAUUUUUGUUAGGAUUAUUGUCUUGUAAUGGUUAAGGACAAUGUACUUUGUGUGCAGAGUGCAAGCAGGGACUCCAACAAGACUAGCUAUGACAGCAUAACUAAAAGGGAGAGCCAGAAGGCAACACAGACAUGAGGGUGCCCUGCGACAUAAAGUAUGAGUGAACACUUAAGAGUGGGGGCGACAGCAUCCAAACAUCCCAAUUCACCACAACAAUUGGUCCAUGAACCCUCCAGAACUGCUCUUUUAACUAAGAAAAAAAUAUUUACAAAAGCCUUGACCUAAUCUUGACUUAAAAACUGAGACUGUGUCUGAUUCCCAAACACUAAUUGGAAGACUGUUCCAUAACUGUGUGGAUUUGUAAGAGAAAGCUCUACCCCCUGCUGUAUCCUUCACUAUUCAAGGUACCAACAAAUGACCUGCACCUUUUGAUCGAGUAGACUUGGUGAAUCAUAAAGUACCAAAAGUUUGAUCAGGUACUGUGGAGUGAGACCAUUCAGUAUAAUAUUGACCAUAAUCAGUACGAAGUUUGCGUGGUAACCAAUGUAGUGUGGAUAAGAUAGGGGUGAUGUGGUCAUAUCUUCUGGUUCUAGUAAAGACUCUUGCAGCUGUAUUCUGGACUAAUUGGAGUUUGUUUAUGCUCCUAUUGGAAUAUCCAGACAGUAAGACAUUGCAAUAAUCCAAACUAGAGGUAACAAAACGUGAACUAAUUUUUCUGCCUUGUGUAGUGCCUUAGAAACAUUAUAUUUCUUAUUUAGCAAUAUUUCUAUGAUGAAAGAAGGCCAUCCUAGUAAUAUUAUCUACAUGAGCUUUAAAUGAAAGACUGGAGUCAAUAAUCACACCAAGGUCUUUUACUACUGCACAUGAUGAAACAGAAAGGCCAUCCAGAGUUACUAUGUAAUCAGAAAGCUUAGUUCUAGCUGCAUGUGGACAUUAUAGUACUAGAUGUAUUGUUUUCUAAAUAUUUUGUAUACUCCACCUGUAUGGUAUAUGGAGAUUAUACAGACACUUAAACAAACUUAACCAUUAUCCUAAAUAGCUUAAUAGAAUUACUUGAUUAUUUCACUGAAGGUCUUGCAACAUUGUUUCAGCUUGUUACACAUUAUUUUGCAAACUGCAUGUGUGUGCAGUGUGUGCGCAAGUGAGAAAGCCUCUCAAACAACAUAAUAAUGACUUCUGGUUUUGUGAAAAACAUCUUUAAGAUGUAACAGAGUUUGUGAAUCUACUAUAUAUAUAUUGAAAGAACACCUUUGCCAAGAGUAUGCAAAACAAAUGCAAAUUUUGUAGUGAUUUAUUGAUGCCAAAUCGACUGCUUUGUUUAGCAAUCAAAUUCUAUGAAAAUUUUAUCACCUGCCAGCUGUAGGUGGCUGUUGAGUACCAUCCCCCAUGAAAAACAAACUAUUGCACAUCUCAUCUAUUUAAUAAAUGCACUAACAUGUAAGUAGUCUGGGAAUCUUUCUUUUCCCUACUGUAUUAGCCAUGUGUUGCUUUGGUAUUUGUUGGGUGCUGUAUCAGCCAUUGUAUUUUAUGGUAUUUGAUAUUUGUUUAACAUUCCUUUCCAGCUUUAGUCCCCAUUUGCUGUGGCAUUGUCAUGCUGGAGCAGGUUUGAGGCUCUUAUUUCCAGUGAAGGGAAAUCGUAAUGCUAUAGCAUCCAGAGACAUUCUAUACAAUUGUGUGGUUCCAACUGUCUGGCAACAGUUUGGGGAAGAACCACAUAUGGGUGUGAUGGUGAGGUGUCCACAAACAUUUGGCCAUAUAUUGUAUGAAAGGGGAAUAAUUAGAUAUGCUAUGUUUAAAUAGUUUACUUCCUACACCUGGGGAUAAGGCAUAAAAAUUAACUCGAGGUUAAUAAUCAGUAAUCAGUGUUCAGACUUGUAGUAUAUGGUGAGUUGUUAUUGAACUGUUUAAGGUGUAUGUAUAAACUUUUCUUUUUUUUUUUGCAUACAUGUGUAUUGAACAUUUACAUUUAAAAAACAAACAAACAAACAAAAAAAACACACUCUAUGGCACAGAUUCCCAGACCUGGUCAUGGAGUACCCUCUGUCCUGUGCAUUUUAGUGUUUUACAUGCUCCUAACAUAGCUGAUUGAACUAAUUAGCUAAUUUCCAUCCUUAUAAGUAAAAUGAGCUUCAUGUGAAUCGGUAACCUCGCAAUAACAAUGGAAUAACAAUGUUCUUGAGAAAUACAGUAGAAUUAUCUUAUCUUGUAAUCAUCUUUAUUUGCUGUACACAACAAAUCUGGCAGAUCAGCAAAUAAACACAAAUGAAGGAUAGACAUUUAUAGACAUGUAUUUGCUAAAAAAAAAAAAGUUAGUUUAUUGAUCAUUUUUCUGCUAUAUUGUGAAUUGGACAGUUAAUAGUUGUACAAAGGUUCAUGUAUUCAUUUAUUAUGAUAUUUUAAUACUCUGCAGCAUUUUCAGGUCCCAAUGUUCAUGUGACGGGGAGAAGGGAGAAGCCAGGGUGUGAGGAGAGAGAGAUAAAGGAGCGGCUUGAAGCACCAGUGGGAGAGAGACACAUGUGUGCUUUGUGUUUGGCCUACGUUUGUGUGUUUUACAUUAUGUUUGAGAUUUUUUUAUUAUUGAACUUUACGUUUAUGUUCAGCCGGUUCCUGCUCCUCCUUGCCCGGCUUUGAAGUGUGUGACACGGGUGUGCCAGCCACUCCUUUAUCUCUCUCAAUGUGGCUUCUGUCUUCAUCUUUCACAGAUCCAUAAGUAAAGUACUGGUGCCAUGGAGAUGUUACUCUAAGUCUACACUGAUCUUACAGUUGAUAUUAGACAUAUUGUCAAGUGUAACACAAAACAUGUCAUCCACUUUAAUAGGUACAUCUGCUCAUUCAUGCAGUUAACCAAUCAGCCAAUCAUGUGGCAACAGUUCAAUGCAAAAAAUAAUGCAGAUACAGAUCAAGAGCUUCAGUUAAUGUUAAUGUCAAGCAUCAGAAUUGGGGGGGCAUCCCUGUGACCUUAAAUGUGGCAUGGUUGUUGCUGCCAGAGGGGCUGAUUUGAAUAUUUCAGAAACUCCUGAUCUCCUGGGAUUUUCACACACAACAGUCUCUCUAAAGUUUACAGAGAACUGAAGCUUUUGACCUGUAUCUGCGUGAUUUUAUACAUUGUGCUGCUGCCACAUGAUUGGCUGACUGGAUAACUGCACGAAUGACUCCUGUGUACAGAUCUUUCUAAUAAACUGGAUGGUGAGUGUAUGUGUCUGUAAUUCUAUGGUAUUUAACUCAUUUCUUUAAGUUUAACCAAAAAAGGUAAACAUUUGACUGACAGUGUAGGAAAUAAUAAAUCUGAGCAAUCAGCCCGGUAAAAUCUAGAGAGUUUCUUUUCUAGCAAAUGAUAACUUUAAAAAAAAAGCAGGGGCACUGAGUGUCACUUACCUGUAUACACUACUCUCUGUGUUUAAGUUGUGCAGUUUUUUAUUAUCUGUGCUGAAAAAAAGGUUCUGACGCACAUAAACAUUAAAAUUUAGUGAAACAGGUUCAAAUUCUUCUUAUUAAAAGCGUUGACUGGUAUGAGGGGAACAACCCAGAAUGAUGUUGAGUAUAAAUAAAGCUGGGACUUUCCGUCAGUCCUAUCACGUGUCCCAGCAUAUCAGAGAACAGAUCCCCACUGUCCACAAACACAUCUAGUUUGGGAAUGUCUAAUCUAAUAACGCUGCUUCUCUUCACUGCCAUCUGCUGUCACUGAAACAUACAUGAACACAAACAUAAAGCAGUUUGCCCUUGGCAACCUGGAAAUAUAUACAAGGCCUUAGUGAUUAUUAUGACUACGUUUUAACUGUUCCAUGGCACCAUUUACAUCAGCAAAAGCUCGAUCUGUGAUUCAUGCUUUCCAGACAGCAAUUAACCAGUCAUAAUAUAUAUAAAUAAACAAAAAAAUUAAUAAUUUAUUAAGAUGUCUAGCAGGAAUGGAAUGGGGAGCUAGUCAAAAAUCUUCAUAACAAAUAUAUUGUGCAUUGAUCAGGUCACUACUGAAUUAUGGAUAUAUAAUAUAUGGGUCUGCAUCAUUAGCCUUGAUGAGGAAAAUUGAAACAGUACAGGCACAAUUGUUAAGAAUAUGUUGUGGUGCUUUUGUAUCCUCUCCAAUAACAGCAGCGCAAAUGGAGGUGGGAGAAAUGCCCAUGUGUAUACGCAAGUUAAAAUUAACAAUGAAUUAUUGGAUUAAUAUGAAAGGACAUUCUGAGACACACCCAGUUAAGGAAAUACUACAAGAGUGCUGGAAGUGUGGGAAUAAUAAUAUAAGAAGUUUUGGUUGGACAGCGAAUAAAGAGUCUAUGAAUUUGGGAGUUACAGAAACUUCAGUUAAUCCAACAAUUGUAGUACUAAAUAAACCUCCCUGGUUGUUCCCCAUGGCUCAAGUCAAUUUCCAUCUAUAAUAUAAAGUUAAGAAUGAAACAUAUAUACCUAAGGAGGUUAUUGUACAGCAGUAUUUAGAUCAGGAAUACUCUUCAAUGCCCCACAUAUUCACCAAUGGUUCAAAAGAUCCUACAUUAGAAAAAACAGCUGCGGUGGUAUAUAUUAAGAGGUUCAAAGGCAGCAUUAAAAAAAUGGACAACUAAUUAUGUAUCAGUUUUUACAACAGAGUUUAUAGUGAUUUUGCUGCUAUUUGUCCAGACUCUCAAUCACCUUUAAAUAGCUUAUUAAAUGGGAAGUCUGAUUCAAGACAAGAUUUAGUAUAUGAGAUACUUACACAUCUGCUUAGAAUUCAGAAACUAGGGAUGGUUCUGAGAUUUCUUUGUGUAGCAGCACAUGUGGGAGUAUGAGGAAAUGAAAUAGUGGACAAUGGAUCAUGUGGAUGUUAAAGUUAUACCAUAUAUACCAUAUACCACUAGGUAAAGAAGCAGUAGAAGGAAGAAUGAGAGAACUUGUGAAUGUGAAAUGUGGGACAAAGGAAAAAAGGGAAGGCACCUAUUCAAUAGCCAAAAACAGGUUGGGAAAGGGAGAAUAGGUCUCAAAAAAUAGGAGAGAAAAUACAAUUAUCACUCGGCUCCGAAUAGGACAUUCUGGAUUAAAUCAUUCGUUGCUGAAAAUAGGGAAACAUCAAACAUGAUUAUGCUUGACAUGUGGUGAAGACUGUUGAACAUGUAUGAUUGUGUAAUGUUUACAAGGGAAAGAGAGGAAUGAUUAAAUAAAUUGAGAAAUAUAAAUUUAAUCAAUUUCACCUUACCAAAUGGCAUCCUCUCUAUUGUUUUUUUGUUUUGGGGGCUUUUCGCCAAGCAUUAAACCAGCUAUAUCAGCUGCAGCAGGAAGAAUGAAGUCCUCCACAAUAGUAUGGGGUUUUCCUGUCUCAGCCACUCUGUAGCUCACCAUGUAGGAUGCUUCCAGACCUUCCUAUUUAGGUUUUCCUACACUGUUAUGAGGGUCUUACUACUUCUGAGUUGUCUUAAAUGUCUUUCAAAAAGCUCUCGAGGUUUAUUUAGCAAAAAGUAAAUGGCAUGCUUUGUUUCUAAAUGUCUGCGCAGAAAUGCUGGUUUCAUGCAGUUAUGAAAGAGUACGUUUGCACAUAUACACACUGUGGCUGGGGAUUUUCUUCACUGUCAGCGUAUGUAAAGCCCAAAGAAAUAUAUUUCUCAUCAUAUCUGCGCAUCUUUGAUGUUUUUUCUGCGAACUGCUUGUGAAGAAGAGAUGGCGUUUCAACUCAUACAUCGCUGUCUGCAUCAGUGUGACCUGGGCUAGUAGCAAUGAGUACACUUGCUACGGAUGCGGUGUUAGAGGGACCUGGGCCACUGCUGUCUGAGGACUGGGGAUCAGCGGUGCUUGCUGUGGUUGCGGGCCGAAAUCUUUGUACUUCUCCAUUUUAAGGUUACGAGCUAUUACUUAACUUCAUCAUAUAGCCAUGUGCUGGUGAUAAAUGACAUGCGGUAAGAUGCGCACUGACGCAUGAUUGUGAGUGGAUGCAGUUUUGACCGCGAAAGACAGGAUAAUUUCUUCUUCUUCUUCUUCUUCUUCAUGUUUUAAUGGCGGUUGGCAAACCACUAAAGGUGCAUUACCGCCACCUACUGGACUGGAGUGUAGGCAGUAGAUGGGCAAGAAAAGAAAAACAACCAAAUAAUAAAUAAGGAAAAUAUAAUAAAAUAAAAAAUAAAAGAAACAAAUUAAUAAUAAUAAUACCAACACAAUAAUACAUAAAUAAAAGAAAAUAAAGAGACAAAUAGCUGUAUAGUAGAUAUUCCUACUAGAUUACUAAAGUCUCUCACUUAUCCCAGCAUUUUUUAAAUAGUUUAUUAGGGGGCGGUGCAUUUUCCCAGAUGUUUUCCCCAGCAAGUUCUCUAGUGUCAUGUUUUGUUUUCCAAUCUGCAUCUCUAGCUCAGUUCUUUCCUCCUCAUACCUUUUGCAGUCCAACAAAAUGUGUUUUGACAGGAUAAUUUGACUGGAUGUCAUAUAUUUGACCUUUAUAACAUUGCAAUUUUGCUGUUUGUACACUGGAGGGGGCACAAGUUUAUUUUUUGGCCGUGAGAAAAACAUGGAUUAGAAUUUUAAUGUUAUUCAGUGAGGCGGAAUUAAAUGAACAGUAAAUCUCAGCCUUUUGCUCCCGUACCCCCUCCGUCACCUCACGUACCCCAGUUUGUGAACCACUAAAACACAUCAGUAAUACCCCACUCAGGAUUUUUUUUUUUUUUAAAGCUUUUACGUGUCUUGAAAGAGACAGUUGCUAACAAGUGGCUAAAUGGUAUUACAGAGGUUGUCGAGGACAUUAAACAUCAUCACGCCAAACAGGAAAACUAAUCUACUACAGCCUUGUUGUGUUUAUACUUGUUAGUCACAGUGUUUAUUUUCUGCAAUAAUCCAAAUUCACUGGAAAACUCUUAUUGGAUUUUUGUCGAGGGAACCAGGGUGAUAAUAACUUCCGGGUUGGCCUACAAAAAUAUACCUCAUCCCUGCAGGAUUGACGACUGCCACUCCAGUGUCCGACACUUGAGAAGAGGAUAUCCCUCUCUCUUAAUGUGGAGAUAAAAUCCAUCUCUACAACAGGAAAUUAUUAUAUUUAUAAUGGUGUAGAUGCCAACUUGCAUGUAACACCAGUCCCAUUCACAAAGCGUGAGAUUUUCUCGUGAUAAAUUUACGUCACAAGGAAACAGCUUUUUUUAUGUCACAAUCACGAGAAAACAACAAAGAAAAAAAUUAAUAAUGCAUGGCCGCUUAGGGCUUCCGUACAAAUGUAUUUUAUUCAUUAUUUAUGAGCAAACAAAAUUAAGUAAUGAUCCUGAUAAAUUAGAGGCUGAAUUUUGUAAUGAUAACAGAAACUAAAGUCGAUGUUGAGAGGAUUAUGUGUAUAGAAACCCUCAUUAAUGGAAGUCAUAUACAUUGCAUAUAAUCUAAAGUGAUAUUAUGUGUAUGCCCCUAUUAAUACAGAUCCGGGUUUUAUUAAUAAAGUAAACAAGAUUCUUGGUGACAAAGAGGGGCAAAUAAUUUUGGCUGAGGAAUUUAUUCAGGUUAUGGAUGGGAUUAUGGUUAAGAGUAAAUAUCAAGGACUUUCUAUACCAAGAGAUAGAUCUUCCCUUCUUAUGCUAAAAGAGGAUAUUGGAUUGAUUGACAUAUGGCGCCUGGUCACUCCAACAGAAAGAGAGUAUACAACCCCAAUUUUGAAAAGAAUUUUGGACACUGUAAAAUGUAAAUAAAUGAAAACAGAAUGCAAUUAGUGAAUAACAUAUGGGUUUAUAAGGUUUGCAAAUCAUUCUAUUUCUAUUUACAUUUUACACAGCGUCCCAACUUUUUUGGAAUUGGGGUUGUUCAUUUUUUCUCAUUGCCAUAAAUCUCACUCUUUUUUCUUGCUUUCGAAUUCUAUCAUUGAUCAGGUAGUAGAUUAAAUUGUAAAAUUGGAGCAAUAGUAUUGUCAGACCACACGAUUGGAAUUGGAUUUAGCGCUAAGUACGGAAGCUGGUAGAAAGGGAAGGUGGCAUUGAAAUACUGCAUUAUUACAAGAUGAAGAGUUUAACACAUUAUUGGCUGAUGAUCUGACUUCCUUCUUUUAAUUGAAUGUGGGAAGCACUAGGCAUACAUUAGAGGAAAACUGAUUGCACAUACAGCUAGAAAGAAAAAAAUGGAAGGAAGAGACUCGGUUAAGAAAUUUGAAGCAACAAUUUGUACAUUGGAGAAGGAGCUGACUAGAUGAUACUCUACUGAUCUAUAUCAGGAUAUUUGUAAAUACAAAUUUCAAUUACAAUAUUUUAUAUAUAAUAAAAAAGAUGAAUAUGCACUAUUUAGACUACGGACAAGGUUUUUAUGAAGGAGGUGAAAAAGCGGGCAAGCUCCUUUCCAGACAAUUAAAACACAAAAUGCUGCUAACAUUAUUCCAGCAAUUAAGAAAGGAUAUGCUAUGGUAUCACUAACAAAGGAAAUAAAAGAGGUUUUCAGAAGUUCUAUAAACAUUUAUAUACAUCUUCAGGUAGUCUGGAUGGAGAAAAACUGAAAAAAAUUUUGUAAUAUAGAGUUACCUAAAUUAGAUGUAUUGCAAUCCGAGUCUCUAGACCUUCCCAUUAACAAGAGCAGGUCAAAGCUGCAAUAACCUCUAUGAAGUCUGGCAAAUCACCAGGGGCGGAUGGGUUUCCAGCUGAAUAUUAUAAGCAGACCCAAACAUUGUGGGAGUAAGGGAGGUAGAGGAGGGGAUGGAAUACAAGUUAUGAUAUGUUUUUUUUGUUAUCCCGUGAUACUCUCAAAUCUCUAUCUCCAUUAAUGAGUAUUAUUCAAUUAUAUUCAAGUGUGUCAGGAUGCAAAAUAAACUGGGAGAAAUCUGAGGCUAUGCCUAUCUAGAACAUGUCAUUCCCAUACAGUGACCUAAUUUGGCUUUAAAUGGAUUCUGAAGGGUAUGAAGUACUUGGCAUUAAACUAACGCAGAAUUUGGAGGAUAUAAUGAUGUUGAAUUAUGAAGUACUGCUGUCAAAGAUAAAAAAUAUAUAUAUAAUAAUGUGGACAAAUGGGAACAGCUGCAGCUCUCUAUGGGGUAAAGUGAAUAUAUUCAAAAUGGUUAUUGCUUCGCAGUUCAAUUUUAUAUCAGUGAUGACACCUGUGAACAUUCCAGACCCUAUUUUUAAAACAUAUGACAAAAUUAUCAAGGAUUUUCUAUGGGAAGGAAAAAGACCCAGGAUUAAAAUGAGCAGGUUGACCUCCCCAAAGGACAAGGGGGGCCUUGGAUUACCCAAUGUGCGAAUGUAUAAUUUCUCCUUUGAAACCGCCAAACUGGCUUAAACAUUGGGACGAGGCAGAUUCUGAAUUGGACUGGUCAAGACACAAUAGAAUCUAGCCUCACCACUUCAUCCCAUUAGCAUUCUUUCACAAUGCUCUGGAGCUAAAUGGGAAAUACAUCCAGUGAAAAUACAUUCAUGACAUGUUUGGAGCAAAAUUCAUAAAAUGUGCCAGACAUCACAUUAUAGAUAGUCAUAUGCAUCAUUAUGGAAUAAUCCUGAA